GGGGAUUUAGCUCAGUGGCAUAAGCACCUGCCUUGCAAGCAGGCGGGUGUGAGUUCGAUCCCUG
Transfer RNA from Cavia porcellus (domestic guinea pig), 64 nucleotides. It matches the Rfam family "tRNA". From Rfam's summary of the family: Transfer RNA (tRNA) molecules are approximately 80 nucleotides in length. Lineage: Eukaryota; Metazoa; Chordata; Mammalia; Rodentia; Caviidae. The record is from Rfam.